GCUCGAUUGGUCCAGUGGUUAAGGCUACAACCCACGGGAUCCUCGGUUCGAUCCCGCGAUCGAGCA
Non-coding RNA from Aspergillus piperis CBS 112811, 66 nucleotides. The record is from the annotation of a RefSeq genome assembly. NCBI's taxonomy places the organism in Eukaryota, Fungi, Ascomycota, Eurotiomycetes, Eurotiales, Aspergillaceae.